CGGUAGGCAAAUCCGCCGGGCUUAGAUGAGGGGUGAUAACGAGGCGGCUUGCCGCCGAAGUGAGUGAUACCCUGCUUCCAGGAAAAGCCACUAAGCUUCAGCUACACACGACCGUACCGCAAACCGACACUGGUGCGCGAGAUGAGUAUUCUAAGGCGCUUGAGAGAACUCAGGAGAAGGAACUCGGCAAAUUGACACCGUAACUUCGGAAGAAGGUGUGCCCUAGUAGUGUGAUGAGAACAUCUGAGCACGAAAGGGUUGCAAAAAAUAGGUGGCUGCGACUGUUUAUUAAAAACACAGCACUCUGCAAACACGAAAGUGGACGUAUAGGGUGUGACGCCUGCCCGGUGCUGGAAGAUUAAUUGAUGGGGUGCAAGCUCUUGAUCGAAGUCCCAGUAAACGGCGGCCGUAACAAUAACGGUCCUAAGGUAGCGAAAUUCCUUGUCGGGUAAGUUCCGACCUGCACGAAUGGCGUAACGAUGGCCACACUGUCUCCUCCUGAGACUCAGCGAAGUUGAAAUGUUUGUGAUGAUGCAAUCUCCCCGCGGAAAGACGGAAAGACCCCAUGAACCUUUACUGUAGCUUUGUAUUGAAUUUUGAACAGAUCUGUGUAGGAUAGGUGGGAGGCUUUGAAGCAGGGUCGCUAGAUCUUGUGGAGCCAACGUUGAAAUACCACCCUGGUGUGUUUGAGGUUCUAACCUAGGUCCAUUAUCUGGAUCGGGGACAGUGCAUGGUAGGCAGUUUGACUGGGGCGGUCUCCUCCCAAAGUGUAACGGAGGAGUUCGAAGGUACGCUAGGUACGGUCGGACAUCGUGCUAAUAGUGCAAUGGCAUAAGCGUGCUUAACUGCGAGACUGACAAGUCGAGCAGAUGCGAAAGCAGGACAUAGUGAUCCGGUGGUUCUGUAUGGAAGGGCCAUCGCUCAACGGAUAAAAGGUACUCUGGGGAUAACAGGCUGAUACCGCCCAAGAGUUCAUAUCGACGGCGGUGUUUGGCACCUCGAUGUCGGCUCAUCUCAUCCUGGGGCUGUAGCCGGUCCCAAGGGUAUGGCUGUUCGCCAUUUAAAGAGGUACGUGAGCUGGGUUUAAAACGUCGUGAGACAGUUUGGUCCCUAUCUUCCGUGGGCGCUGCAGAUUUGAGGAAGCCUGCUCCUAGUACGAGAGGACCGGAGUGGACGCACCUCUGGUGUACCGGUUGUCACGCCAGUGGCAUUGCCGGGUAGCUAAGUGCGGAAGAGAUAACCGCUGAAAGCAUCUAAGCGGGAAACUCGUUCCAAGAUGAGAUCUGCCGGGGCCUUGAGCCCCCGUACUCUGCGUUGAU
Molecule: ribosomal RNA, 1319 nt
Filed under: Proasellus jaloniacus
Lineage: Eukaryota; Metazoa; Arthropoda; Malacostraca; Isopoda; Asellidae
Description: bacterial LSU rRNA
Rfam family: Bacterial large subunit ribosomal RNA
Source: RNAcentral